AUCCACAAACUCAUAGAAAACAACCAAAACAAUCCAAGGUUUUUAUUUAGCACAGUGGCUAGAUUAACAAAUAACCAGACGCCACCCGAUAUAAAUAUUCCCUCACAAUUAAAUAGUAAUGACUUUAUGAAUUUCUUCACUGAUAAAAUAGAUAACAUCAGAAAUACAAUAACAAAUGUAGAUUCUACAGCGUCUAAUACUUUAGUUUUAUCUAUCGCACCCAAAGAUAAACUGCAGUGCUUUACAACUAUAAGACAGGAAGAGCUAAAUAAACUUAUCAAACAUCAGUGGCAGUUUCUGUGCUAUGAUGGGGCCUGAAACCCGACUGAAAUUCUUCAUAGAGAUCAUUUUUUUGCAGGUAGGAGCACAAUUGAGCAGACACAACUUUUUCUAAAAUUUUAGACAUAAAUGGAAGAUUUGAAAUGGGUCUGUAAUUUGCUAGUUCACUAGGAUCUAGUUGUGGUUUCUUAAUAAGAGGCUUAAUAACCGCCAGCUUGAAUGGUUUU
This is a long non-coding RNA of Cyprinus carpio carpio, 506 nucleotides long. The record is from Ensembl. NCBI's taxonomy places the organism in Eukaryota, Metazoa, Chordata, Actinopteri, Cypriniformes, Cyprinidae.